Molecule: long non-coding RNA, 565 nt
Filed under: Mytilus galloprovincialis (Mediterranean mussel)
Lineage: Eukaryota; Metazoa; Mollusca; Bivalvia; Mytilida; Mytilidae
Source: RNAcentral
GUGGAGUGCCAGAAGAUUUUUAUUCCUAUGAACUUUUGAAAAUCUAAUACUUUUUUUCAGAAAUUUUUGCUCUUCAUACAAUGUUCUUCUUCUGAUAAAAAAUAAACACUAUAAUUUAAAAAAAAAGAAACUAUCAGAUUCUUGAAUAUUUUCAGACACAUCCUGAAAUCAUGAGCAGAAACAGACCACAACAUAUGUUAAUGAAAAUUGUUAAAAGGUUUUAAAAUGUGAGGUCCUGCUGCUGUAGCAAGUACAUUGUAUACACUCAACUUAUUAUAGUUUCUUCAAAAAUACAUAAAAUGGGAGAAUGGUUAUAUAAUCAGGGGCAAUAACUCCUAUAUACUAAAAAGAAGCAGAACUUUGACAAUUUCAGCCAUAUUGACUUAUUUGUAGAUCUUCUUUUGCAUUCUAAAGUUUGACUUUAUCUACUAAAGUUUAAAAGGAAUAAAUAUGCCAAAAUUGAGGAAAACUAACAGUCAGGUGAAUGACCCCACUAAUGGAUGUACACCACUAAUUCAUGGCCCCAUUGCUUUCUAUGUUCAAUUCCUCAAUUUCAAACAGGCAC